GUUGGGUAGGGGAGCGUUCUGUAAGCCUGUGAAGGUGUGUCGUGAGGCAUGCUGGAGGUAUCAGAAGUGCGAAUGCUGACAUAAGUAACGAUAAAGCGGGUGAAAAGCCCGCUCGCCGGAAGACCAAGGGUUCCUGUCCAACGUUAAUCGGGGCAGGGUGAGUCGACCCCUAAGGCGAGGCCGAAAGGCGUAGUCGAUGGGAAACGGGUUAAUAUUCCCGUACUUGGUGUUACUGCGAAGGGGGGACGGAGAAGGCUAUGUUGGCCGGGCGACGGUUGUCCCGGUUUAAGCGUGUAGGUGUGUGUUCCAGGUAAAUCCGGUUCACUUUAACACUGAGGCGUGACGACGAGGCACUACGGUGCUGAAGCAACAAAUGCCCUGCUUCCAGGAAAAGCCUCUAAGCAUCAGGUAACAUCAAAUCGUACCCCAAACCGACACAGGUGGUCAGGUAGAGAAUACCAAGGCGCUUGAGAGAACUCGGGUGAAGGAACUAGGCAAAAUGGUGCCGUAACUUCGGGAGAAGGCACGCUGACACGUAGGUGAAGUGAUUUACUCAUGGAGCUGAAGUCAGUCGAAGAUACCAGCUGGCUGCAACUGUUUAUUAAAAACACAGCACUGUGCAAACACGAAAGUGGACGUAUACGGUGUGACGCCUGCCCGGUGCCGGAAGGUUAAUUGAUGGGGUCAGCGCAAGCGAAGCUCCUGAUCGAAGCCCCGGUAAACGGCGGCCGUAACUAUAACGGUCCUAAGGUAGCGAAAUUCCUUGUCGGGUAAGUUCCGACCUGCACGAAUGGCGUAAUGAUGGCCAGGCUGUCUCCACCCGAGACUCAGUGAAAUUGAACUCGCUGUGAAGAUGCAGUGUACCCGCGGCAAGACGGAAAGACCCCGUGAACCUUUACUAUAGCUUGACACUGAACAUUGAGCCUUGAUGUGUAGGAUAGGUGGGAGGCUUUGAAGUGUGGACGCCAGUCUGCAUGGAGCCGACCUUGAAAUACCACCCUUUAAUGUUUGAUGUUCUAACGUGGACCCGUGAUCCGGGUUGCGGACAGUGUCUGGUGGGUAGUUUGACUGGGGCGGUCUCCUCCUAAAGAGUAACGGAGGAGCACGAAGGUUGGCUAAUCCUGGUCGGACAUCAGGAGGUUAGUGCAAUGGCAUAAGCCAGCUUGACUGCGAGCGUGACGGCGCGAGCAGGUGCGAAAGCAGGUCAUAGUGAUCCGGUGGUUCUGAAUGGAAGGGCCAUCGCUCAACGGAUAAAAGGUACUCCGGGGAUAACAGGCUGAUACCGCCCAAGAGUUCAUAUCGACGGCGGUGUUUGGCACCUCGAUGUCG
This 1329-nucleotide ribosomal RNA is filed under the name Salmonella enterica subsp. enterica. RNAcentral describes it as "bacterial LSU rRNA". It matches the Rfam family "Bacterial large subunit ribosomal RNA", at positions 1223 to 2534 of the family's 2925-position model. The record is from RNAcentral. Lineage: Bacteria; Pseudomonadati; Pseudomonadota; Gammaproteobacteria; Enterobacterales; Enterobacteriaceae.